RNAcentral lists this ribosomal RNA (206 nucleotides) under uncultured bacterium. Its description in RNAcentral is "partial 16S ribosomal RNA". It matches the Rfam family "Bacterial small subunit ribosomal RNA", at positions 1294 to 1500 of the family's 1533-position model. The record is from RNAcentral.
CGGAUUGAAGGCUGAAAUUCGCCUUCAUGAAGCUGGAAUUGCUAGUAAUGGCAGGUCAGCAUACUGCCGUGAAUACGUUCCCGGGCCUUGUACACACCGCCCGUCACACCAUGAGAGUUGGAAAUACCCGAAGCCUGUGAGCUAACUUAAAGAGGCAGCAGUCGAAGGUAGAGCCAAUGAUUGGGGUGAAGUCGUAACAAGGUAGC